Molecule: ribosomal RNA, 396 nt
Filed under: uncultured bacterium
Lineage: Bacteria
Description: partial 16S ribosomal RNA
Rfam family: Bacterial small subunit ribosomal RNA
Source: RNAcentral
AUACGUAUGGAGCAAGCGUUAUCCGGAUUUACUGGGUGUAAAGGGAGCGUAGACGGCAUAGCAAGUCUGAAGUGAAAUCCCAUGGCUUAACCAUGGAACUGCUUUGGAAACUGCCAGGCUAGAGUGCAGGAGAGGUAAGCGGAAUUCCUAGUGUAGCGGUGAAAUGCGUAGAUAUUAGGAGGAACACCAGUGGCGAAGGCGGCUUACUGGACUGUAACUGACGUUGAGGCUCGAAAGCGUGGGGAGCAAACAGGAUUAGAUACCCUGGUAGUCCACGCUGUAAACGAUGAUUACUAGGUGUUGGGGACCAAAGGUCCUCGGUGCCGCCGCAAACGCAUUAAGUAAUCCACCUGGGGAGUACGUUCGCAAGAAUGAAACUCAAAUGAAUUGACGGGG